Molecule: non-coding RNA, 73 nt
Organism: Aedes albopictus (Asian tiger mosquito)
Lineage: Eukaryota; Metazoa; Arthropoda; Insecta; Diptera; Culicidae
Source: Rfam
CUCCAGAUAGCCUAGUUGUUAAGGCUAUGGAUCGGCAAUCCGUAGACGGCGGGCUCGAUUCCCGUUCCGGUCG